RNAcentral lists this long non-coding RNA (474 nucleotides) under Salmo salar (Atlantic salmon). RNAcentral's name for it is "lncRNA (ENSSSAG00000115542.1)". Lineage: Eukaryota; Metazoa; Chordata; Actinopteri; Salmoniformes; Salmonidae. The record is from RNAcentral.
CGUUGAGUCAGGUCUACAAUGUGAGUAGUAGACUGUGGUAUUGGGAGUAGAUAGCUAGGCUAGGCUAGUAGGCUAUGGUAUUGGUAUGUUGUGGUAUUGGGAGUAGAUAGCUAGGCUAGGCUAGUAGACUAUGGUAUUGGUAUGUUGUGGUAUUGGGAGUAGAUAGCUAGGCUAGGCUAGUAGGCUAUGGUAUUGGUAUGUUGUGGUAUUGGGAGUAGAUAGCUAGGCUAGGCUAGGAGGCUAUGGUAUUGGUAUGUUGUGGUAUUGGGAGUGGAUAGAUAGGCUAGUAGACUAUGGUAUUGGUAUGUUGUGGUAUUGGGAGUAGAUAGCUAGGCUAGGCUAGUAGGCUAUGGUAUUGGUAUGUUGUGGUAUUGGUCAGUAGAUAGCUAGGCUAGUAGACUGUGGUAUUGGGAGUAGAUAGCUAGGCUAGUAGGCUAUGGUAUUGGUAUGUUGUGGUAUUGGGAGUAGAUAGCU